Molecule: long non-coding RNA, 725 nt
Filed under: Struthio camelus australis
Lineage: Eukaryota; Metazoa; Chordata; Aves; Struthioniformes; Struthionidae
Description: lncRNA (ENSSCUG00000003092.1)
Source: RNAcentral
CCUGCGCGCAGGUCGGCGGGCCAGCAGAGGCGAAGGAGCAGCCCCGUUUGGUGGCGCGCCCUGUCGCGGGAAACCUCUGCCCUCCGCGGUGCCGGUGCGAUCUUUUUUUUUUUCUGAGCCCCGAGUUAAAACCACGCGCGACGCGGUUCACGUGGGCGUUGGAAAUCACAGCCCAGCGCCCGCGUGUCUGUUGGAAAGGUAAAUCUUUAUUUCUUUUGUUUCUUCCAGGUUGAUUCCAGCAACGCGCUGUCUGAAAGAUGCUGCAAGGAGCUAAUAGUAACAAGUAGCUCUGUACCUUUCUGGACAGUCUGCUUUCUGGAUCCUUACGAGACCCCCGGUACUUGAUGACAAGGCUGGCUCUCUGUACGUUUAAACUAAAGAGGAAAGAAGGCCUGAGAGCUGGCUUUCCCGUGUCUUGCCUUGCUGUUCAAACACAGUGCGAGGUGUGGAAGGGAGGCAGGGACACGAGACAUGAUCUAGCUAAAUCCCCCAGUGCAAAGAGCUGGAAUGAGAGCAGUGUACUCGACUUAGAUGACCAGGACCUGCUGGGAUGGAAGAGGAGACUGCAAGUGACAGAUAUGACAAGACAAAUGCAUCUCCAGUCUUUGACGCACAGUAGACGCUUCAAAGAGAACAACCCCAAACAAACAACAGAAAGCAACAAUGAAGUGACAACAGGAAAAACAGCACUAGGCACAAGCAGCAACUCUGGGGUCAGAAGGUGA